CAGUCGCCGCGGUAAUACAGAGGGUGCGAGCGUUAAUCGGAUUUACUGGGCGUAAAGCGUGCGUAGGCGGCUUUUUAAGUUGGAUGUGAAAUCCCUGAGCUUAACUUAGGAAUUGCAUUCGAUACUGGGAAGCUAGAGUAUGGGAGAGGAUGGUAGAAUUCCAGGUGUAGCGGUGAAAUGCGUAGAGAUCUGGAGGAAUACCGAUGGCGAAGGCAGCCAUCUGGCCUAAUACUGACGCUGAGGUACGAAAGCAUGGGGAGCAAACAGGAUUAGAUACCCGUGUAGUCCCUGUCUCUUAACA
This 301-nucleotide ribosomal RNA is filed under the name uncultured bacterium. RNAcentral describes it as "partial 16S ribosomal RNA". It matches the Rfam family "Bacterial small subunit ribosomal RNA", at positions 509 to 808 of the family's 1533-position model. The record is from RNAcentral.